GUCCCUGUAGCGCAAUGCAUUGCGCGUUGGACUUCUAAUCCAAAGUUCAUGGAUUCGAGUCCCAUCUGAAAUU
Molecule: non-coding RNA, 73 nt
Organism: Trichonephila clavata
Lineage: Eukaryota; Metazoa; Arthropoda; Arachnida; Araneae; Nephilidae
Source: the annotation of a GenBank genome assembly